AAGACCCCAUGAAGCUUUAUCUUAAUUGGAGCUUUCAGGCUCUUAUACGAUUUUGAUGGGAGAUCAGUAGAAAUAAGUCUUCUACUAUCAUAUUAAUCUUACUAGUAUUUCCUAACUUUAUAUGUGUGGCUAGCUACUCUAGGGAUAACAGCGCAAUUUCUCCCGAAAGAUGGUAUUGGAGGGGAAGAUUGCSACCUCGAUGUUG
Molecule: ribosomal RNA, 205 nt
Filed under: Mytilus galloprovincialis (Mediterranean mussel)
Lineage: Eukaryota; Metazoa; Mollusca; Bivalvia; Mytilida; Mytilidae
Description: partial 16S ribosomal RNA
Source: RNAcentral